Molecule: long non-coding RNA, 245 nt
Organism: Magnolia sinica
Lineage: Eukaryota; Viridiplantae; Streptophyta; Magnoliopsida; Magnoliales; Magnoliaceae
Exons: 2
Source: RefSeq, a predicted model, not a curated record
UGGAUCAUGAGUCUUUGGUGGCUGAACAGGGGAUCUAUUAUCUGGCAAGCAACUACUAUGGAUACUGUUAUCCAGGAGCAUUUGAUGGCGUCUUGGAGCUUCUGGUUCAUGCUGGCAGAAGUCUGCCCAAAGCUAUCACGUGGAGGGGACCUUACUGAAACAGUUCAUGUGGAAGGCUAUGUGGCAGUUUGUUUGUUUUGAAAACUUUAAAUAGACCAUUAAUUGUUUUGUUGGUAUUGUCCUAA